RNAcentral lists this ribosomal RNA (497 nucleotides) under uncultured bacterium. RNAcentral describes it as "partial 16S ribosomal RNA". It matches the Rfam family "Bacterial small subunit ribosomal RNA", at positions 28 to 507 of the family's 1533-position model. The record is from RNAcentral.
GAUGAACGCUGGCGGCGUGCCUAAUACAUGCAAGUCGAGCGAACGGACGAGAAGCUUGCUUCUCUGAUGUUAGCGGCGGACGGGUGAGUAACACGUGGAUAACCUACCUAUAAGACUGGGAUAACUUCGGGAAACCGGAGCUAAUACCGGAUAAUAUUUUGAACCGCAUUGUUCAAAAGUGAAAGACGGUCUUUCUGUCACUUAUAGCUGGAUCCGCGCUGCAUUAGCUAGUUGGUAAGGUAACGGCUUACCAAGGCAACGAUGCAUAGCCGACCUGAGAGGGUGAUCGGCCACACUGGAACUGAGACACGGUCCAGACUCCUACGGGAGGCAGCAGUAGGGAAUCUUCCGCAAUGGGCGAAAGCCUGACGGAGCAACGCCGCGUGAGUGAUGAAGGUCUUCGGAUCGUAAAACUCUGUUAUUAGGGAAGAACAUAUGUGUAAGUAACUGUGCACAUCUUGACGGUACCUAAUCAGAAAGCCACGGCUAACUACGUG